Long non-coding RNA from Larimichthys crocea (large yellow croaker), 466 nucleotides. RefSeq lists it as uncharacterized. The transcript is spliced from 2 exons. The record is from RefSeq and is a predicted model, not a curated record. NCBI's taxonomy places the organism in Eukaryota, Metazoa, Chordata, Actinopteri, Sciaenidae.
CUCUCCGUGUGGUGUUGUUUUAUCUGUGUGAGGCCAUACGUCCACCACCAGAUUCUGUUUGAAGCUAAAAAUGCUGCUCACUGCAACAAGUUUGGAGAGGAGAUCCCUCCAUGGACCUGAGGAGGAAGAGGAUGUUUGUCCCUGUCUUGUUGUUUUCCGUCUCUCUUCCUUCACUGCGAUUGGUCUGUUGAGUGUGUUGUCAUGGUUACAGCAGCCAGCAGACGUGGUGCUUUCUGGGAAAUGUUUACAUGUACGCCGUCUCCUAGCUGCCAAAAAAACAAAUCAAGAAGUGAUUUUACUUUUUUAACGAUUUUAACUGGUGCUGAUCUUCAUCACCUUUAUCAACAUCAUCAUCAUCCUGGUCUCUCUGAUCACCAGCACACUUUCACACGAAUAAAUCGUUUGUGCAAUAUUUACUUUGUUUGAAUGUUUCUGUGUUUGUCAAUAAAAAUCAAUGAUCAGCUGA